GCAGAAAUGCGCCCCCUUCGUUUUCUUCAGCUAAAACUGCUCCCUUUUUAUUAGCAUCCUUCAGGCUCACUUGCUGCUCUAGCUAGCUCAAGCUUGCUUGCUUGCUCAAUCACUCUUGCAGUGUCAGUGUGACAGUGUCAGUGUUGCUAAUCAAUUAAGGGAGAGAUUUAUAUGUUAUUAGGUGGUUAAUUAAUCUUUGUGUUGUUGCAAGAAUGGAAGGGCUGAUACCUCUGGUUUACAAGGCCAUAGUAGAGUACAGGAAGGCAAGCAGGCAGGUCACCCUGGGGAGCUUCUUCCUCGUCACCACCGUCGACGACCAGCUCCGCGGCGGCUCCGGCCGGUGGUGCUCGCCGUCCCUCUCGCCGACGGCGAGCGCCGCCCAGCUGGUGUCACCGCUGCUGCGGUCGGCGGCGCCGCGCCGCCACCGUGCAGGAUAAGGGUCAAAUGCUUCACAAGGAGGAGUACCAUAGACUUGUACCAUAAAUAUGUGUCGAAUAAUUGGCACGGGUGAAUGUGAGGUGUUGGUCCAAACUCCAAAGGGAGUAAUAGCAGUAGCUAGCACCAGGAGCAAAACUAAUACAUAUGCUUCAGAAAAUUCUAUCUGCAUGCCCUAAGUGUGUCUGAUGUGUGCUGGAUAUAUGAAUAUAAUCCAGUUCAGCAGCUUGGUGAAUGUAUAGCACAGGUACAAAGGAAUAAGGAUGUGCUUGUACUGUAUAAAUCGAGCGAAUUUGUGCUUGAUGUCAUACUAUGAAUAAUAAGUGGAAAUGUUUAUAU
Molecule: long non-coding RNA, 774 nt
Organism: Oryza brachyantha (malo sina)
Lineage: Eukaryota; Viridiplantae; Streptophyta; Magnoliopsida; Poales; Poaceae
Exons: 2
Source: RefSeq, a predicted model, not a curated record